Transfer RNA from Pseudomonas taeanensis MS-3, 74 nucleotides. It matches the Rfam family "tRNA". From Rfam's summary of the family: Transfer RNA (tRNA) molecules are approximately 80 nucleotides in length. Their secondary structure includes four short double-helical elements and three loops (D, anti-codon, and T loops). NCBI's taxonomy places the organism in Bacteria, Pseudomonadati, Pseudomonadota, Gammaproteobacteria, Pseudomonadales, Pseudomonadaceae. The record is from Rfam.
CGCGGGGUGGAGCAGUCUGGUAGCUCGUCGGGCUCAUAACCCGAAGGUCGUUGGUUCAAAUCCAGCCCCCGCAA